RNAcentral lists this ribosomal RNA (497 nucleotides) under uncultured bacterium. RNAcentral describes it as "partial 16S ribosomal RNA". It matches the Rfam family "Bacterial small subunit ribosomal RNA", at positions 28 to 507 of the family's 1533-position model. The record is from RNAcentral.
GAUGAACGCUGGCGGCGUGCCUAAUACAUGCAAGUCGAGCGAACAGAUGAGGAGCUUGCUCCUCUGACGUUAGCGGCGGACGGGUGGGUAACACGUGGAUAACCUACCUAUAAGACUGGGAUAACUUCGGGAAACCGGAGCUAAUACCGGAUAAUAUAUUGAACCGCAUGGUUCAAUAGUGAAAGACGGUUUUGCUGUCACUUAUAGAUGGAUCCGCGCCGCAUUAGCUAUUUGGUAAGGUAACGGCUUACCAAGGCAACGAUGCGUAGCCGACCUGAGAGGGUGAUCGGCCACACUGGAACUGAGACACGGUCCAGACUCCUACGGGAGGCAGCAGUAGGGAAUCUUCCGCAAUGGGCGAAAGCCUGACGGAGCAACGCCGCGUGAGUGAUGAAGGUCUUCGGAUCGUAAAACUCUGUUAUUAGGGAAGAACAAAUGUGUAAGUAACUAUGCACGUCUUGACGGUACCUAAUCAGAAAGCCACGGCUAACUACGUG